AGCGCAAGCUGCUGCCUGUUUGCCUGUUUGCUUAAGCUCACCUCCCCCCCAGCCCCUCUCCAUCGGACCCUGUUAUUUUGAGACCCUAAGGAUACUGUGGGUUCUACACAGGUCUGCCUGGUUCCUUGCUGCAGGCUGGCUGCCCUGGAAGUCUUCUCAGGAACUAUGAGAACAUCAAGUCUGUUCAGAUGGCAUCUCCUAGACAUCUCAUUUACAUACUCUUUCUCUCUCAGGCUGGCACCCCUUGUCAUCAUGGAUUUUGCUACCCUACCAGCCAAGGAUGCUGCCUGUGGACCUUUGACGAGAACCAUGAGUCAAGAUGAGAUCCCCUCGAUCCAGUCUUUAUAUUGUUGCUAACAGAAGAUGGAGUAAGACACCCAUAUUCUCUAACAACCUUCUACAAAGUUAGAGGUGAACAAGACUCCAAUUAGUGUCCUAAUGCUCUCCAAAACACACCCAGGAGCACUAGAUCUAAAGAUACCAGCCUAUGAGGAUACUGGUCAUAAUGGGAUGAAAUCUCAGUUUUGCAGCUCUGAGGCUGGAUCUAUAGCUGGUCCCAGUACGUUCUCCACACUAAAGCCUGCAGAGCCGUUCAGAAGCUACCCUGUGGGCUCAAAGAGCUUGGAUGUUAUUGCCACUCUUUCUAGGUAAGGACCAAGCUCCUUUUCUUGCUCUCCUCCCACUCCCCUCCUGAUUUCUAACCCUUGCAGCGUUCCAGCUAUUUAACUGCUUGAGCAAGGUUAACUCUUGAUUGAUGGACCAUUUUGUCCACCACAAGGGCUCCGGGGAUAAAUCUGUGAGAUGAGGCUAAAUUUUAUCAACAGUUUAGGAGUGAUUCUACAUUUGAACAACUGGUUCAGCUCCUGAAGUGUGUUUGAUUUCCAUCUGUGCUCCUGAAGCCUUUCUUCUUCUAGUUGCUGGAACUUUCCACACUGCUGUCAGUCAAAAGGUCCUCUCUCCACAGCUCCUGUUGUUCUUUAGAUCUCAGCCCCUGUGUUCAGUCCAACAGGGAAACCUGCUCUGUGGCCUUCUCCAGAGCUGGGUGUGUGGAUUGUUUCUCCCUGUUUUAACCCCCUCCUAUUUAUUUAUGCAUUUUUGGCUCAACAUUCUCUGUAAUUGAUUGUGGCAUGUAUCAGUCACUUACUGCUGAAAGAAUAAAACGAGAAUCGAGUGGUUAGGUUGAGCAUUUGUUUUAAAAAGAAUAUCAUUAAGUUAUUUCCAUAUAUGCAUACAAUGAGCCUUGACCAUCCUUUCAUGGUCUCUUCUAUACUUCUAAUGCCCUUCUUCCCUUUCACAUCUCUGUGAGAUAAGAAAAUGGGUCUUUGUGGGGCUCUUUUAUUCCACUUAACAUAUUGAUUUCUAGUUCCUUCCACUUUCCUGCAAACAGCAUAGUUUCAUUCAUUAUGACACAACUAAGUUUCAUGAUGUAUGUUUACUAUAUUUUCUUUAUUUGUUCUUCCUUUGGUAGUUAUCAGGCAAUGUUUUAAAAUUCGAUGUUAUGCAUGGGUAUUGUGCAUGCUGCCCCAAUCUCUGUGAGGUCCUGUGUGCAACUGCCCUGCUGUGUCCAGAAUGCUCGGCUUCAAUGCCGUUGUCUCUCACUUCUGGCUCUUAGAGUGUUUCAGGCCAAUCUUGCACCAUGAUUUUGGAUGGGUACACACCCAAAAGUAUGUAGGUGGCAUAAAAUGGACUUGGUGAGUUUUCAAAAAUGAGGACACAAAGUUAGAUGGGUAUGGAAUGAGGGGUGGAUCUGGGAGGAGUUGUGGAAAGGUGGAUAAGUUUAAGCAAAUAUAAUGCAAAAAAUUCUCAAAGCAUUUAAUACAAAUAUUUGAUGCUAUAUGUUCCAGUGGACAUUUGUUUUUGAUUGUUUGUUUGUUUUGUUUUUUCCAUUAUACUUUUUUGGAGUCAAUUUGGCCAAAUAAUAGAAAGCCCUUGAAGAUACAUGCCUAACUUGUCAUGAGGAAACCUGGUUCCUGCCCAUUCCACAUCAACCUGUCUCUUCACUAGUUACCCAGUCUCCCAUAUUCUACUUAGAGAGCAACAAGAGACCAAAGAAAUGAUUGUGUCUACAUCCAGGUUGGUGAAUCAAUGAGUUUGUUGUGGUUGCUCCUAGGAGGAGUGUAGGUAACCAAAAGGCAGCAUCACUGUAUCGUUGAUGGGUGGGUGAUGACUCAGGAGAGCUAAAUUACUGGAGUUCCCUA
RNAcentral lists this long non-coding RNA (2198 nucleotides) under Mus musculus (house mouse). RNAcentral's name for it is "predicted gene, 30563". The record is from RNAcentral. Lineage: Eukaryota; Metazoa; Chordata; Mammalia; Rodentia; Muridae.